CUUAUUUUGGUUAAUUCCCUUCUAGGAUGAAGGGGAUGGAGGACCAGAACCUGAAGGUGAAGAUGAAGUUGAAGGUGAAGUUGAAGGGCAAGGAGAGGUCGAAAUUGAGAGCGAGGGUGAACCACAAGAUGUUGAUGUUGAGCAAGUUGAGAGUGAGGGUGAGAAAUCUCAGGAAGUUGAAAUGGGCAAUCAAAGGGAAGAAAGUGAAGAGAGGUAUUUGGAGAGUGAUGAUGAGGGAUAUGGUCAACGAGUUGUAACAAGUAGAAGACGAAAUACAAUUGACAGUGGGUCUGAAAGAUCAGGGGAGAAUUAUUAUGCUGCUAGCAAGGAUGAGGAAGUGAAUCAGGCCAGAAGGUCUAGUAGAUCACCUGGCGAUGAGAAAAACGAGGAUCACCUUUUAUACUCAGCUCCAGAGAUCCGUGAUGUUUUUGGGGACUCUGACGAUGAAGAACAAGAAGAGUACGCAGUUCAGAAUCAGAUCGAAGAAGAUGAAAAUAGAUCUCUUCCAGAUGAAGAGGACAAUUUUGAGAAAGGACUAAGGCCAGAGGAUAUGAUUCCUGAUGAAGAUGCCCCAUAUGAGUCUGAAGAAGAGCACACUGAGGCUAGACCCAAAGAAAAGCCCGUUGGUCCUCCUCUGGAGCUAGAGAUUCCUCUGCGUCAUCCUCCAGCUGACCCGGACAAGAUGCAUAUGAUUAAAGUUUCAAAUAUAAUGGGUAUUGAUCCCAAGCCAUUUGAUCCUAAAACAUAUGUGGAAGACGAUGUUUAUAUCACUGAUGAAUCUGGAUCAAAAAAGAGAAUACGGUUAGAGAAUAAUAUUGUUCGCUGGAGGAGGGUUAAAAAUCCUGAUGGCACAACAUCUGUUGAAAGCAAUGCACGCUUUGUGGAAUGGUCAGAUGGCAGCCUACAGUUACUCAUUGGAAAUGAAGUGCUUGAUAUAUCUAAGCAAGAUGCUCAACACGAACAAGCACACCUUUUCCUCAGACAUGGAAAGGGUAUUCUUCAGUCUCAGGGAAGAAUUUUAACCAAGAUGAAGUUUAUGCCUUCAUCCUUGACUUCUAAUUCGCAUCGUCUGUUGACUGCUCUUGUCGAUUCGCGGCACAAAAAGGUUUACAAAGUCAAGAACUGCAUCACUGACAUCGACCCUGAGAGAGAGAAGGAGCAAAAGGAGAAGGCUGUAAGUCAAUCAAUUAGGGCUAGUGCAGUCCUUAGUCGGAAGAAGGAGAAGGUGAAAAGUAAAUAUACACAACCUAUCCGUCGGGAACGUCAACUUUCACCUGGUUUUCUGGAGGAUGCACUUGAUGAGGACGAUGAUCAAGAUUACUAUGAACCUCGACGGUCUGCUGCCCGCCGUAGCUUUGAGGAAGACCUUGAAAUGGAAGCUCGAGCUGAGAAGCGUAUUAUUAAUGCAAAGAAGGGCCCGAAAGAUAUCGCUCGCAAAUCAGCAUUGCCAUCUCGGCGGUCAAUGGACUUUGCUGAAAGUGAGGAGGAAUCUGAAUAUGAAACUGAAGGGGAAGAAGAUGAGGGUUCUCCAUCACAUAGAAGGGACAUGGAAGCAGAGCAGGAUUAUGAGGAAGAUGUAGGACGUGAAUUGGGAGAGGAGGAUGAAACUUACGAAGAAUCAGAGGAGGAGGCUAAGGAGCCCAAGCAAAGGGCGAAGCAGUCAGGAGGCAGCCUCAAAAGAAAGGACAUUGAGUCAGAUGAGGACUCUCCUCCAAGGAAAGCUGCAACCCAUCGUCGAAUGGCAAUUGUUUAUGAUAGUGAUGAGGAGUAGGACCUUUGUUUCAAGGAGUACAAGUGAGUAAUACCCACUUACAGUCUGUAUUACAAUCUCAUAGUCCAGAUUUAGUUCCAUUUGUGGAUUUUAUCGGAUGAUCAUUCUCAGGCAUUCAUGGACAAUUCUGCAUUCGGCCUCGCCUGGAACUUUCCUUUGCAUGCAGAUUUUAAGAUCCGCAGUAGUUUCAUACUUAAACGCUGCCAGGUUUGGCACUACAAUGUAUAUACGUCAUAAAGUUUUCCUUGGUAACUUCUUUAUUUCUUAAUUUUAGGAAUUUCAUUGCAAUUUAUUUGUAAUCAUCUCUAUAAAUGAUUGUCGUAUAAUGGCUUGAAUAAACUGCACUUUCUUUCUUUUUCCUUUUUUAAAUUAAUUUAGCAGACAAUUGUUAAUCA
RNA transcript from Olea europaea var. sylvestris, 2166 nucleotides. It is a transcript of the gene named protein LEO1 homolog, with no coding region annotated. The record is from RefSeq and is a predicted model, not a curated record. The transcript is spliced from 11 exons. Lineage: Eukaryota; Viridiplantae; Streptophyta; Magnoliopsida; Lamiales; Oleaceae.